GACGAACGCUGGCGGCGUGCUUAACACAUGCAAGUCGAACGGAAAGGCCCUGCUUUUGUGGGGUGCUCGAGUGGCGAACGGGUGAGUAACACGUGAGUAACCUGCCCUUGACUUUGGGAUAACUUCAGGAAACUGGGGCUAAUACCGGAUAGGAGCUCCUGCUGCAUGGUGGGGGUUGGAAAGUUUCGGCGGUUGGGGAUGGACUCGCGGCUUAUCAGCUUGUUGGUGGGGUAGUGGCUUACCAAGGCUUUGACGGGUAGCCGGCCUGAGAGGGUGACCGGCCACAUUGGGACUGAGAUACGGCCCAGACUCCUACGGGAGGCAGCAGUGGGGAAUAUUGCACAAUGGGCGGAAGCCUGAUGCAGCAACGCCGCGUGCGGGAUGACGGCCUUCGGGUUGUAAACUGCUUUCGCCUGUGACGAAGCGUGAGUGACGGUAAUGGGUAAAGAAGCACCGGCUAACUACGU
Molecule: ribosomal RNA, 467 nt
Filed under: uncultured bacterium
Lineage: Bacteria
Description: partial 16S ribosomal RNA
Rfam family: Bacterial small subunit ribosomal RNA
Source: RNAcentral